CAGUAGCCGCGGUAAUACGAAGGGGGCUAGCGUUGCUCGGAAUGACUGGGCGUAAAGGGCGCGUAGGCGGAUGUUUAAGUCAGAGGUGAAAGCCCAGGGCUCAACCUUGGAACUGCCUUUGAUACUGGACAUCUUGAGUGUGGGAGAGGUGAGUGGAACUCCGAGUGUAGAGGUGAAAUUCGUAGAUAUUCGGAAGAACACCAGUGGCGAAGGCGACUCACUGGCCCAUUACUGACGCUGAGGCGCGAAAGCGUGGGGAGCAAACAGGAUUAGAUACCCGUGUAGUCCCUGUCUCUUAUAC
This 301-nucleotide ribosomal RNA is filed under the name uncultured bacterium. RNAcentral describes it as "partial 16S ribosomal RNA". It matches the Rfam family "Bacterial small subunit ribosomal RNA", at positions 509 to 807 of the family's 1533-position model. The record is from RNAcentral.